Apis cerana (Asiatic honeybee) is the source of this 3567-nucleotide long non-coding RNA. RefSeq lists it as uncharacterized. The record is from RefSeq and is a predicted model, not a curated record. Lineage: Eukaryota; Metazoa; Arthropoda; Insecta; Hymenoptera; Apidae.
UGAAUUUUAAUUAAAAAUGAGUUUUUAUGUAGCCAUUUUUAUUCAUCGUUUUCUUUUAAUUUUUACGUAAUUAGAUAUUGAAAUAAAUAUGGAAAUGUCGAAAUUUAGAUUUAAUAAAAUAAUUAUUUGGAUGUAAAUGGCGUCGAAUUGCAAAUUCUAAAAGUAUAACGUUUCUUUUUUAUCGUUGAAAUCUUCAAAAUAUGAUAUAGCGUGUAAUUUCCUUUAUAAUUCAGGAUAAAUUUAUUUUUCGUUUGAGCACAUUAGAUCGGUGUAUUUCAAUCCAUUUUCGACAUUAUUCAAUAUUUGAUUUCAAAAAUGCCAAGUAGAGUACAGAUAAUAGAUACGUCAAAUAACGAUAAUAGGAUAAAAAAUUUUUUGAAUACGAUAACAAAUUUUUUCUUUUAUGUUGAUUCAAAGAGCUUAACAAGAUAUUACAUGGCUAUUAACAUCAUACUUUACAGAGCUAUCAAAGUAAUUCUCUCUUAAUAAACUCAGAGUAUCAUAAGACAGCAAUAAACCACGUUUUUAAAUUUUUCUUAUCUUACACGAGGAAAAGACGUCACGAGUUAUUAAAAUAUUACAGAAGAAAAUCACAAUUCAGAAACGAUUACGAUUUUCAUAAAUGAUAAUAUAAGUGUAAAAGUGUGAAUACAUGAGAUGGCUCUAAAGUUUGAAAAAGAAAAUUGAAGAAAACAAAAGAAUUGUAUACAAAAAUGUUUUUAAAUUAUUGUCCAUUAAAUGUUAAUAAUUUAAAUUUGUGUUGAAUAAAGCAAAGAAAACACAUAUGUAAAUAACCUGAUAAGUACAUCGUUUAUAUUUGCAUUUAGAUUUUUCAACAAUGCGAAAUAUCAUUGUUUUAAUUUUUUUGAUUCUCUCCUAUCGAUCAAAAUAAUCCAAUCUUUGAUUGCAAAUUAAUUUUAUUACCGUUUAACACACGUAUCGUAAUUUCAUUUUGCGACUAAAAGAUGAAUUUUUCGCGAAAGAAUACUGAAAGAAGGUGGUAAUCGUAGAGAAAUCAAAUAUUAAGAAGUUAGUCAAGGUAAUGGGGGCUCAAGAAAGGAGUAGUAGAUCGUUGCAGUUGGCCCGCACGACCGGUUCGAGAGAUCGAGAUCCUCGUUUUCUCUGUCGAUCUCUGGCCUCUCCACUGCUACUCCGCCUUCGUACCUCUUGACAUGUUUAGAUGCACGCUUAGAUAGACGUUUUAAAACGUAGCUAGAAACUCGUGGGCACAGUCAUUGCUCGGAUCUAACAGUUUCUUACUUUAUUCUGUUUCAAAACACUGUUGCUUAGAGUCAUGUUUCCGCUGUGUUGUCGGUUCGUUGUUGCCAAUUUUGCCUGUCCAUUUAUGUACAUUUUUUACGCAUGUAUACAGUGAAGAGUGAUAAAUAGACUGCGGAUGUUUAUGCAUUUAUGUUAAAAUUUAAAUGUAGAAAAGUGUAGAGAAUGCACGCGAUAUGCAAAUGAGGCAAAUCUCUAUUUAAGCUCUUUUCUUUCAGCCGUAAUAAUUUUAUUUUAUUGUCUAAUGAAAAGUGAGUCUUUUGAAUCCCUUUUUUUAAACACUUUUUAUCUCAAAAGUUUGAAAAAUUCAAUUGGACACUGUCAAAAUUUGUUUCGUGAUUCAAAUGAUUCUACGAAUGAUAGAUUUGAUGACAAAAAAAAUCAAUCGAUAACCGAAGGAAUCGAGCGGAAUAUUAAUCCGGAAAAUUAAAUCAGAGAUAUAAAAGAAACAACCAAAGUGUACUUCUUAAAAGUCAUUAAAAAAACGCUCGCACUGAUCGUCGAAUAUCCGUUCUCGUGCACAACGCGUGGUCGAUCACAAAAGUUUCUAAACGAGUGAAAUAAAGUCACUUUGCGAAUAAUAACGUUUCGAUCGAUAUCACUAGGGGCAAUUUCUUCCUAAUUCGCAAUGGUGGGUCGGAAGGUAACCGAUUCGCGGAAGAAAGUUUGAAAAUUGGCCUCUCGAGACCAAACGAGUAAUAUUUCGCUGCGCCGCGUGAAACUGCACCACUGUUGUGUGUUGCCGUCAGUUUUACGAGGCUAUCGGUCGUAAAGUGAAAAGGCACCCAGAAAGGGAGGAAGAGAGGAUGUCGAAAAAGAAGAAGAAGAAGAAGAAGAAGAAGAUGAAGGGAAUAAAAAGAAGAGGACAGACUGCGAGAAAACUGUCCUCGUUGGCAAGAUCCUUCUUCGACAAACCUGUCGGCAGCUCGCCAAUCUGCGGGAUCACGUAUGGGAAACGCUUGUCUCUUGACCGGAUAAAAAACCGCAUGCUUUUACGACUUUCCAUAUGCGGAAUGCUUUUUUUUUUUACAAUCGAAUAGCCUAUUCUCUAUAUGAUAGCGAUAGAGUGUCCUUUUUAUUUCGAACGAAUACACUGGAAAGCUAAUAUUAAUUCGAAAAUAUUAUUUCGUGGUUUAAUAUUCGUUACAAAUGCAAUGAGCGUGAAAAGUGUUUCAUUAUUUUCAUCAGCUCAAAUUUUCGAAGAAAUAAAAUUUGAUCUGAUCCAACUCGUUAGAAAUUAUAAUAAUGCGCCUCGUCGUAACAUUUUCCCAGUGAAAAUACGAUGAAUCGGUUAAUAAUUAUGCAAAAUGCGAAAUAAGUUAUCCAAAGUGCAAUGCAAUGAAUGAAUAUUUCUAUAUUAAUAUUUCUGAAUAAAAUGAUAAAAUUUUAUUCAUACUCAAUUUCAUUCGAGUAACGUUGUAAAGGAUUUUUAUUUAUUUAUUUUAAAAAAUUUUUAACCAAAUUUCAAUAAUCUCGCAUUUGUAUUAUUCGUCGCUUCUUUUUCAAUUAUCGAUGAUUAAUUCUUUCGUUUUGAAAUUUCUUGAGUUGAAACGGAAAUGUGUUCUUGGAUGAAAAGUAAAGUAAUUUUCGGCAGAUUUUCAAUCGGAGCAGUAAAAGCUGAAAACAAAUGGAAUGUCUGGAACCCCAGGGCAGAAAGAACCGUAUGGCCGGUCAAAUAUAGCAAACUCGAAAUUUGCCAGUAGUAGGGGCAUAAAGGGGUGCCGUAUAUUCAAAUUAUGGGGUGACCCUUCUCGAAAACUUGACGAAGGGGAAAGGAGGAAUUACCGUGUAUAAGCCAGCAGGCUUGCUUCUCUAAAAUCAAUAGCGCUGUUCCAACUUUGUACACGCUGUUCAGUUAGUAAAACUCGUUCUGAAAAUUUUACUCUGGCAUCAAUUUUUUUCUCAAAUUUAAUGUUGUACAAAUAUAAUAUAUCGUUUAAAACUGAUCUUUUGUUUAUUAUCAUUAUAGCGAGUAAAGGAAUUUACAUUAUUUUAUAAAUUGUUGUUAAUGAAUAACAUAAUUAUUGGGAAUAUUUUGAAAUUAUGAUCUGCAUAAUGUCAAAAAUAAAAUACCUCCUUUGUUAUGAAAUAUAUUUUUAUAUCUUUAAUAGCAUAUUACAAUUUAAUUAAAUUUAUGAAAGUGAAAAUAAAUUGUAAUAUUGAAUUUUAAAAAUUAAUUAUAUAUAUGUUAUUCUAAUUAACAUGGAAAAUACAAAAUGUGGUAUAUAUUCUACUUUAUACUUAUCAUAUAAAUAAUAAUUCUUAUAAUAAAUAUUUUGUCAGAAUUAU